Molecule: non-coding RNA, 269 nt
Filed under: Nitrococcus mobilis
Lineage: Bacteria; Pseudomonadati; Pseudomonadota; Gammaproteobacteria; Chromatiales; Ectothiorhodospiraceae
Also listed under: 1 other name
Source: RNAcentral
UUUGUCUUAUCUGCUUCUGGUUCCCCGUGCCCGCUGGCCGGGGAUGAAACGGGAAGCCGGUGCCCUGCCAACCGUUGGCACGAGAGCCGCUGAGUAAUCAGUGGGCUCGGGAUAUCCAAUAGAGGGUAUGGAAGUCCGGCGCUGCCCCCGCAACGGUAAGCGAGUCAAGGCGCUGCUUUAUGCCACUGUGCUUAACGCAUGGGAAGGCGCGGCGUCAGGCAUGAUGCCUGCUUGCAAGCCCGGAGACCGACCUGGAGCUCUUGCCGGUU